RNAcentral lists this ribosomal RNA (253 nucleotides) under uncultured bacterium. RNAcentral's name for it is "partial 16S ribosomal RNA". It matches the Rfam family "Bacterial small subunit ribosomal RNA", at positions 524 to 776 of the family's 1533-position model. The record is from RNAcentral.
UACGGGGGGAGCAAGCGUUGUUCGGAUUUACUGGGCGUAAAGGGCGCGUAGGCGGUAGCACAAGUCAGUUGUGAAAUCUCCGGGCUUAACUCGGAAAGGUCAACUGAUACUGUGCGGCUAGAGUGCAGAAGGGGCAACUGGAAUUCUCGGUGUAGCGGUGAAAUGCGUAGAUAUCGAGAGGAACACCUGCGGCGAAGGCGGGUUGCUGGGCUGACACUGACGCUGAGGCGCGAAAGCCAGGGGAGCGAACGGG